This 403-nucleotide ribosomal RNA is filed under the name bacterium. Its description in RNAcentral is "partial 16S ribosomal RNA". It matches the Rfam family "Bacterial small subunit ribosomal RNA", at positions 355 to 776 of the family's 1533-position model. The record is from RNAcentral.
UGGGUAAUAUUGCACAAUGGGGGAAACCCUGAUGCAGCGACGCCGCGUGAACGAAGAAGGUAUUCGUAUCGUAAAGUUCUGUCCUAUGGGAAGAUAAUGACAGUACCAUAGAAGAAAGCUCCGGCUAAAUACGUGCCAGCAGCCGCGGUAAUACGUAUGGAGCGAGCGUUGUCCGGAAUUAUUGGGCGUAAAGGGUACGCAGGCGGUUUAAUAAGUCGAAUGUUAAAGAUCGGGGCUCAACCCCGCAAAGCAUUGGAAACUGAUAAACUUGAGUAGUGGAGAGGAAAGUGUAAUUCCUAGUGUAGUGGUGAAAUACGUAGAUAUUAGGAGGAAUACCAGUAGCGAAGGCGACUUUCUGGACACAAACUGACGCUGAGGUACGAAAGCGUGGGGAGCAAACAGG